Molecule: ribosomal RNA, 821 nt
Filed under: uncultured eukaryote
Lineage: Eukaryota
Description: SSU rRNA
Rfam family: Eukaryotic small subunit ribosomal RNA
Source: RNAcentral
CGGUGUUUAACUGGCGUGAUGUGGGACGUCCUACCGGUGGGCUUAGCCUCGCGAGGGGCGGCCCAACUAAUAUCCCGUCGCGGUGCUCUUUACUGAGUGUCGAGUCGGGCCGGUACGUUUACUUUGAACAAAUUAGAGUGCUUAAAGCAGGCUAUCCUCGCCUGAAUACUGCGUGCAUGGAAUAAUGGAAUAGGACCUCGGUUCUAUUUUGUUGGUUUUCGGAACCCCGAGGUAAUGAUUAAUAGGGACAGAUGGGGGCAUUCGUAUUGCGACGUUAGAGGUGAAAUUCUUGGAUCGUCGCAAGACGGACAGAAGCGAAAGCAUUUGCCAAAAAUGUUUUCAUUAAUCAAGAACGAAAGUUAGAGGUUCGAAGGCGAUCAGAUACCGCCCUAGUUCUAACCAUAAACGAUGCCAGCUAGCGAUCCGCCGAAGUUCCUCCGAUGACUCGGCGGGGCAGCUUCCGGGAAACCAAAGCUUUUGGGUUCCGGGGGAAGUAUGGUUGCAAAGCUGAAACUUAAAGGAAUUGACGGAAGGGCACCACCAGGAGUGGAGCCUGCGGCUUAAUUUGACUCAACACGGGAAACCUCACCAGGCCCAGACACCGGAAGGAUUGACAGAUUGAUAGCUCUUUCUUGAUUCGGUGGGUGGUGGUGCAUGGCCGUUCUUAGUUGGUGGAGCGAUUUGUCUGGUUAAUUCCGAUAACGAACGAGACUCUAGCCUGCUAAAUAGGCGUACCUUAUGGUAUCGCGAAGGCCCCCGGCUUCGGCCGGUGGGUUUUUACUACCAACGUACAAACAAAUCUUCUUAGAGGGCACAGGCGG